CUUCAGCGAGCCCAGGAACAGCGGGGUCGCGCGGUUCUGCCCGUAGGUCGCCAGGACGGCCUGCGCCUC
RNAcentral lists this antisense RNA (69 nucleotides) under Saccharothrix sp. NRRL B-16348. RNAcentral describes it as "ASpks sRNA". It matches the Rfam family "ASpks TB sRNA". Lineage: Bacteria; Bacillati; Actinomycetota; Actinomycetes; Pseudonocardiales; Pseudonocardiaceae. The record is from RNAcentral.